Empidonax traillii (willow flycatcher) is the source of this 597-nucleotide long non-coding RNA. RefSeq lists it as uncharacterized. The record is from RefSeq and is a predicted model, not a curated record. Lineage: Eukaryota; Metazoa; Chordata; Aves; Passeriformes; Tyrannidae. The transcript is spliced from 3 exons.
AAGCUGGUUCUAUUCUAUGAACCUGUUAGAAGGCAGAAGAGUGAAUCCGCAUCAAUCAAAUGCAGUAUUUCUUUCCCAGAGCUGUACUGUUUCAUCAGUUUGCAGCAACUAAAGAAGAUAUUCUUGAGCUAAAAAGGAACAAAGCAUUUGCAGAGAAAGAAAUGCAGAGGUUACAAAAUCCACCAGCAGCCAAGAGCCACACUCAGGCAGGGGCACAGUAAGAAUGCAGCCUGAGGGCAGUUCAGGCGAUGUUAAUGUUACUGUAGACAAAGUAACAUUACUUAAACCACUGUGUCAUCUCUGGAAAAUCAGUGCAAAAGAGACAUGCUGACAUAUGCAUCGUGUUGUCUUCACCAAGGAAGUUGGACAGCUUCCAAAUAAAGCUUCAGAAGGAGGAUUGAGCUCUGCAGACCUCAGGCUGCUGAGAGUGCCUGGAGCCCUUCAUUGGAGCGAGACCAGUAGGAGGUUGUCUUCUAGCCUGCAGGAGACAUGUUCAUUGUUGAGAAAACCGUCACCAUGAGAAGAUGUCACCAGGGUGAGCAACAACACAAGAAAAAAUGGUUUUAAGGGCGAUUGCAAUUUCAACCAGGUUACACA